GGUUGACAACAUGCUUUAACUCAGAUUUGGUAUUAUAUUCUAGGAAUUAAGAUUCAAAGUUUAGCUAGCGCCAUAUUUGUCCAGAAGUUUUAGGAAGGAAUGAUGUAGCUUACUUUGUUCAUAUACUUUUCCACCACCGAGGGAAGGUCGGACCGGGNNNNNNNNNNNNNNNNNNNNNNNNNNNNNNNNNNNNNNNNNNNNNNNNNNNNNNNNNNNNNNNNNNNNNNNNNNNNNNNNCUGUUAGGAACACCGACGAGUACCGCAACACCCCAUCCCUGCACAAAAACCAAAAACAUGGCCAAAUGUGUCGAACAUCACAAUUUCUGUUAUUUGCUUCGUUCUACUUCCUAGGUUCUAUCAAGUUUAGGCAAAUGCAUGAAGAAAGGGAAUUACAUCGUGAACACAUUCAAAUGCAGAGAUCAUGGCAUUAAUGUUUCCAGUACACUCGACGCUUCGAUCAACUCCCCCAUCUGUCAUUUCAGCGAGCACCUGAAAAUAAGGGAGUAAAAUUUUGAGAAUGAAGGGUUGUCUUCAUUUAGUUUUACCUUGAAACCAAUAGUUAGGGUUUUCACAAACCUCUUGAACCGGCUUGUUAUGGUCUUUCGGGUUGACGAAUUCAGUGCAACCAAAUUUCUUAGCUGUUUAAGAUACACCAAGGAAACUGAACAUUAGACGAAGCAUUUUAAAGACAAUAAAUCAAAAAAUUCCCUUCUGGGGUUUUUAACUUACCUUCCUCAAAUCUGUUAGGAUUCAGAUCAACCCCAAUAAUCCUAGAAGCGCCUGCAAUUCUAGCCCCUUCAGCAGCCUAAUUAUAAACACCACAUCAACAAUGUUAUCCAAGUUAGCAGCAGCAGGGGCGAGGAAAAAAGUUACGAAACUUAUUAUGUUCCCACGCAUUAUUAUUUUUCUUGAAAUAUCUAUGUCCAAGAAUGGCAUUGGACACAUGAAGCUAAGAAUAUAGCCUCCAAAAUUUCCUCCAUAUACAUUUUUAAAAAAGUAACUUCGAGAAAACUGAUCAUAACCAUGUGGAACACAUCCCAUAUACGAUACUCUGCUCAAUUGUAUGGAAGAAGGGAUACUCACAGCGAGGCCUACUGCUCCCAGUCCAAAAAUGGCCACAGUUGAACCUUUGGUGGGCUUUGCAACAUUCAAGGUGGCACCAAGACCUCGAAAAUGAUUUAAAACUCCAUUAAACUAACAGAUUAGAUGGAAAAUGAAAAUUUUAAAUCAAGUAACAAAUUGGUUCUUUUUUAAGACCUGUAGAGAUGCCACAGCUGAGAAUACAAACUUUGUCAAGAGGAGCGGCGGGAUUGAUUUUGGCAACACUGCCAACAUGAGCAACAGUGUAUUCACUGAAGGUGGAUGUGCCAACGAAAUGAUAGAUGGGUUUUCCAUUAAUGGAGAACCUGGUCUUGCCAUCACUAAGCAUCACCCCUCGGUCAGUGUUGAUCCUUAGCAGGUCACACAUGUUGCUUUCCUUGGACUUGCAAUGACGACAGUUGCCGCAUUCCCCGGUGAAGACCGGAAGCACAUGGUCACCGGGUUUAAGGUGUGUCACACCCUCACCCACACUGUCAACAAUCCUGCAAACAAAAUAGUCAAUAGAGUGAUAAAAAUAUCUGGUUACCACACUAAAUGGAUACAGACACGCCCAUUAAUACCUAGGUUCAACAGAUCCGACCAAUCUGACAUAGAUCCCAUGCAGAUGCUGUUCAAAAUAAAAAAUAUGCCUUGCUGAAUUUAUAUGGAAAUGGAUCGGAUAAGAGUUUGACUGUUGGACUCAUUGAUGAUAGAGGUACUUAAAAUGAAAAAAGGAAAAAAAAUUUAGUGUUGAGCAUACCCCCCAGCUUCAUGACCAAAUAUACGAGGGAAUAAUGGAGUUUGGCCCUGUAAGAUGACAAUGAUGAACAAUAUUAGUUUCCAAGUAUGCGAGUAAUGAGUAUUGCUUUACAACGAGAAUGCAUCAUGAGGAGGCACUUAACUAAAAUACCUUGGCUUCCCAAAAGUAAACAUCAGUGUGGCAGAGAGAGGUGAAGAGGAUCUUCAGACGGACCUCCAUUGCUUGUGGUGGUGCCACCUCCACUUCUUCAAUCACUAGUGGCUUCCCGGCUUCCCAUGCCACCGCAGCUACAUGCAGUUGCAAUGUAUUUCAAAGAAUAAGCAUAUACAAUGACAAAUGGUUUUCCUCAAAAACGAAGCAUCAAAGUAUGAUGAUAAAACCCUAAACACUCAAGUAAAAAUCCAGAAUGAAAAUAGACCUUUGCAACGAAUGACCUGACCAGCAGUGCUUUGGGCAGACAUAUUGACUUGGCAAACUAUCCGUUUUCUCCUUUUGGAAACCUGGAAAAAUAUUCUAGUAAAUUGGGGUUUAGGAGCUUGGCAUCUCUUAAAGUAAGAAUCGAGGGGACUGAUAUUUUUACACGUCAAAGAAGCCUGUUUUGACAGGGCAUUUGUAAGAGACAUAUACAUUGAAUUCAUGAACUAGAAGCAAGAAUUCACCCAAGGAAAACGCUGUUCUUCUUUUGAUCCGCAAAGCAAACGACGCCUAAAAUUUAUUUGUUUUCCCGAACAUGGGUUCGUGAAUAUAGUAUUUUAGUAGAUUAAUUCGACGGGUUGAGGCAAGUGUGCAACUUUACAUUUAGCUAAAAGUGAUCAGACGCUUGUUUCGAAAUAUCUGCCUUCUACCAUUUUCGGCCGGACACGUGGUGGUCCUCCGUACCCCUGUCGACUGAGUCCCUGUCAUGCCUGACCAUACUCAGAACUUACAAUAUGGACUUUUUCAACCAUGCGCUCUAUAAAAUUUUAAGCAUAUCAAUUGUUUUAUCAAAUUAUAUUUUUAAGUAUAUAUAUUUGAUUUUGGUUUAAUUGAUAUUCUUAUUUGUAUAUAUAAUAUAUCAAUAUAAAAAAUUUCAACUCAUAUAUAAGAAUCAAAAUUAUCAAAAUUUACAUAUAAAAAAUACUUGUAUAUCCCGUCCCAAAAUAGGUUAGGAGUUAGACUUAUUAAACUUGAAAAAUAUAUUUUAAAUCUUUAUCAAUUGAUUAAUUGAAGAGAAAUGGAAUUGUAGUUUGAUGAUUCAUCAAGGCAAAGGAACAGAAGCGUGGUGGUACUGUCUCAUAUAGUAUACAGAGCAUGAAAAAGGGAAACAACAUUAAGAUAUGUAUGAUCGAUGGCGAUUACAAAUGAAGUUUGAUAGGUUUCAAGUAUCCAUGCGAAUAAGACAGCGGAUGCCCUCCCCAGCAAGCAUGUAAUCGAAAGCCUUGUUUAUAUCUGAGAAUGCCACUUCAUGCGUUAUAAAUUUCUCCAGCUCAAGCUCCUGCAUGUAUCACAUUACUCUUUCUGAGUUCAUAACAAAUUACAGAAAUGAAUGUUCUAAGCAGCCAUCCAAUUGCUUGCUAGGAAGGAAUGAUGUAGCUUACUUUGUUCAUGUACUUCUCCACAACUGAAGGAAGGUCGGACCGGGGCUUGUAGUUGCCAAAGAAGGUACCUUUCAGAGUCCUCUCGUUCAGAAAAUUCACGGGAUGUGUUUUAAAAGCAUCAUCUUUGUUCGGAACACCGACGAG
Molecule: long non-coding RNA, 3561 nt
Filed under: Gossypium raimondii (Peruvian cotton)
Lineage: Eukaryota; Viridiplantae; Streptophyta; Magnoliopsida; Malvales; Malvaceae
Description: long non-coding RNA (GRAI_LNC005104)
Source: RNAcentral